RNAcentral lists this non-coding RNA (195 nucleotides) under Smithella sp. RNAcentral's name for it is "6S RNA". It matches the Rfam family "6S / SsrS RNA". From Rfam's summary of the family: E. coli 6S RNA was the first non coding RNA to be sequenced, but its function was unknown until recently. It consists of 184 nucleotides that fold into an extended hairpin structure with a large single-stranded internal bulge. The 6S RNA specifically associates with RNA polymerase holoenzyme containing the sigma70 specificity factor. RNAcentral also lists the same sequence under 1 other name. Lineage: Bacteria; Pseudomonadati; Thermodesulfobacteriota; Syntrophia; Syntrophales; Smithellaceae. The record is from RNAcentral.
UUACCCCUGCGAUGUGCGUGAUUGUCAUUUGUUUUUGAGCCAACACUUUGAACCUGGGGCCUAUACUUGUUUGCGGUGUGCAUGUCCGCCUUUUUCCGCUGGUCGGGUGGCAGAAAGCCUGAAACAAACAACACCGGGAACCCACUUUUUUAAAAGGUUCAAAAUCGUGAUCAACACGGCAUAGGCGGGGGUUUU